RNAcentral lists this ribosomal RNA (253 nucleotides) under uncultured bacterium. RNAcentral's name for it is "partial 16S ribosomal RNA". It matches the Rfam family "Bacterial small subunit ribosomal RNA", at positions 524 to 776 of the family's 1533-position model. The record is from RNAcentral.
UACGUAGGGGGCGAGCGUUGUUCGGAAUUACUGGGCGUAAAGCGCGUGUAGGCGGUUGUCCAAGUUGGAUGUGAAAGCCUUGAGCUUAACUCAAGAAAUGCAUUCAGGACUGGAUGACUAGAGGACCGGAGAGGAUAGUGGAAUUCCCAGUGUAGUGGUGAAAUACGUAGAGAUUGGGAAGAACACCAGUGGCGAAGGCGGCUAUCUGGACCAGCACUGACACUGAGGCACGAAAGCGUGGGGAGCAAACAGG